AACCACACUAUCAAUAGAUGGAUUCACCCGUGAAAUGAUGCGGUUGUUUCACCUAGGACGAGGACAUGGCAUCCUUACCAGCCAUCGCACAAAAUUAAUAGGAUGUCACGUCCACAUCCUAGAUAAAACAACCACGUCAUAUCAUGGGUGAAUCCAUUCAUCGAUAAUGUGGUU
Molecule: non-coding RNA, 174 nt
Organism: Oryza nivara
Lineage: Eukaryota; Viridiplantae; Streptophyta; Magnoliopsida; Poales; Poaceae
Source: Rfam